Non-coding RNA from Vicia faba (fava bean), 285 nucleotides. The record is from the annotation of a GenBank genome assembly. Lineage: Eukaryota; Viridiplantae; Streptophyta; Magnoliopsida; Fabales; Fabaceae.
AUGGUGAAUCGCGCCGAAAACGUCAUCGGAGGGCUCGGUCCGGUACAUCGCGGAGGACGAUGGUGUUUAGCCAAAUGGGCGUUGUGGUGUUCGUCGACCGUUCAUGAUGGUGUCGUGGUCUGGCCGGUGGAGAUGCUUCUUGCGGUCGUCGGUGGAUCUAUGACCGGAGGUUGGUGGCUGGUGUUGCGUCCCGGAUCCGGUGAGUUCGGCGACCGGAUGUUGGCUGCAUUUGCGGUUUCGAUUGUUUACAGAUUUUCUUGUCACUAUUCUUUACUCUCUCUUUGA